AUUGAACGCUGGCGGCAGGCCUAACACAUGCAAGUCGAGCGGUAGCGGGAAAGUAGCUUGCUACUUUUGCCGGCGAGCGGCGGACGGGUGAGUAAUGCCUGGGGAUCUGCCCAGUCGAGGGGGAUAACUACUGGAAACGGUAGCUAAUACCGCAUACGCCCUACGGGGGAAAGCAGGGGACCUUCGGGCCUUGCGCGAUUGGAUGAACCCAGGUGGGAUUAGCUAGUUGGUGAGGUAAUGGCUCACCAAGGCGACGAUCCCUAGCUGGUCUGGGAGGAGGAUCAGCCACACUGGAACUGAGACACGGUCCAGACUCCUACGGGAGGCAGCAGUGGGGAAUAUUGCACAAUGGGGGAAACCCUGAUGCAGCCAUGCCGCGUGUGUGAAGAAGGCCUUCGGGUUGUAAAGCACUUUCAGCGAGGAGGAAAGGUUGGUAGCUAAUAACUGCCAGCUGUGACGUUACUCGCAGAAGAAGCACCGGCUAACUCCGUGCCAGCAGCCGCGGUAA
This 508-nucleotide ribosomal RNA is filed under the name uncultured bacterium. Its description in RNAcentral is "partial 16S ribosomal RNA". It matches the Rfam family "Bacterial small subunit ribosomal RNA", at positions 29 to 523 of the family's 1533-position model. The record is from RNAcentral.